Molecule: ribosomal RNA, 457 nt
Filed under: uncultured bacterium
Lineage: Bacteria
Description: partial 16S ribosomal RNA
Rfam family: Bacterial small subunit ribosomal RNA
Source: RNAcentral
GAUGAACGCUGGCGGCGUGCCUAAUACAUGCAAGUCGUACGGAAAGGCCCUUCGGGGUACUCGAGUGGCGGACGGCUGAGUAACGCGUGGGAACGUGCCCCAAAGUCGUGGAUAACGAACCGCAAGGAGUGCUAAUACCGCAUAUGGUCUUCGGAUUUAAGCUUCGGCGCUUUGGGAGCGGCCCGCGUACGAUUAGAUAGUUGGUGAGGUAAUGGCUCACCAAGGCGACGAUCGUUAGCUGGUCUGAGAGGAUGAUCAGCCAGACUGGGACUGAGACACGGCCCAGACUCCUACGGGAGGCAGCAGUAAGGAAUCUUCCACAAUGGGGGCAACCCUGAUGGAGCAACGCCGCGUGCAGGAUGAAGGUUUUCGGAUCGUAAACUGCUUUUAUAAGUGAAGAAUAUGACGGUAACUGAUGAAUAAGGAUCGGCUAACUACGUGCCAGCCGCCGCCGUAA